This 477-nucleotide ribosomal RNA is filed under the name uncultured bacterium. RNAcentral's name for it is "partial 16S ribosomal RNA". It matches the Rfam family "Bacterial small subunit ribosomal RNA", at positions 28 to 507 of the family's 1533-position model. The record is from RNAcentral.
GAUUAACGCUGGCGGCGUGCAUAACACAUGCAAGUCGAACGAUGAAACUUAGUAGACUUCUUCGGAAAGACACUAAGCGGCUUAGUGGCGAACGGGUGAGUAACGCGUGAGUAACCUGCCUUACACAAGGGGAUAGCCUUUGGAAACGAAGAAUAAUACCCUAUAAAACUAUAAAAGCACAUGCUAUAAUGGUCAAAGUGAUAGCGGUGUAAGAUGGACUUGCGUCUGAUUAGCUAGUUGGUGAGAUAAAAGCUCACCAAGGCAACGAUCAGUAGCCGGCUUGAGAGAGUGUACGGCCACAUUGGGACUGAGACACGGCCCAGACUCCUACGGGAGGCAGCAGUGGGGAAUUUUGCACAAUGGGGGAAACCCUGAUGCAGCGACGCCGCGUGAUUUAGAAGGCCUUCGGGUUGUAAAAAUCUUUUGUAUAGGAAGAAAAUGACAGUACUAUACGAAUAAGGUCCGGCUAAUUACGUG